UAGGGAAUCUUCCACAAUGGACGCAAGUCUGAUGGAGCAACGCCGCGUGAGUGAAGAAGGCUUUCGGGUCGUAAAACUCUGUUAUUGAAGAAGAACGUGCGUGACAGUAACUGGUCAUGCAGUGACGGUAUUCAAUCAGAAAGUCACGGCUAACUACGUGCCAGCAGCCGCGGUAAUACGUAGGUGGCAAGCGUUGUCCGGAUUUAUUGGGCGUAAAGCGAGUGCAGGCGGUCUUUUAAGUCUGAUGUGAAAGCCUUCGGCUUAACCGAAGAAGGGCAUCGGAAACUGGGAGACUUGAGUGCAGAAGAGGAGAGUGGAACUCCAUGUGUAGCGGUGAAAUGCGUAGAUAUAUGGAAGAACACCAGUGGCGAAGGCGGCUCUCUGGUCUGUAACUGACGCUGAGGCUCGAAAGCGUGGGUAGCAAAACAGGA
RNAcentral lists this ribosomal RNA (431 nucleotides) under uncultured bacterium. RNAcentral's name for it is "partial 16S ribosomal RNA". It matches the Rfam family "Bacterial small subunit ribosomal RNA", at positions 355 to 777 of the family's 1533-position model. The record is from RNAcentral.